This is a long non-coding RNA of Puntigrus tetrazona (Sumatra barb), 463 nucleotides long. RefSeq lists it as uncharacterized. The record is from RefSeq and is a predicted model, not a curated record. Lineage: Eukaryota; Metazoa; Chordata; Actinopteri; Cypriniformes; Cyprinidae. The transcript is spliced from 4 exons.
AGUGGCUUUUCUUGCGAAACACUGAAGAGGCCGAACUACAAACUCGUGGGAAUACUGUCUGAAAUAAAUGUGUCUGGGCACAUUGGUAUUGCCGGAUAACACGAGCAGAUUUUCAAACAGAUCCAAAUGCAUGUGGACCUCAGCGCACUCCUGAAAACUACCAAUCUGCAGUAGACAUUUUACAGUCUGAGGGACAACAAAACGUUGAAGAAAUGGAUGAUUCAGAGCUAAACAUUUCAAACAUUAGCAAUGCCAUUGAUGCUGUAUUACCUGAACUCCCAAUCGCAACUAAAAAAUCUCUUGAGGACACCUUAAAAUCACUUGGAGUGGAGACCCCAGAAGAUUUCAGAUUUCUUCAGGAAUCGGAUCUGGGAGCUGUACUGAGGCCCAUUCAAGCCAGGAAAUUUAUUUCUGUUCUAAAGGAGACCACACAAAUUUCUGAAACCCCAGAGCAACCAGUCAG